UUCCUAGCUGUCAUUAGAUAUUUUUUUCCUUCCAUUUUAGUGUGAUUCUUACGGUGAGAAGGGAAAUAUUCUUACGGUGAACUCUGCAGCCAUUGGAUUUCCCUCAGCUCCAUCAGCCAAGUACAAGUGGACCAUUCUGGAGACGAGCAUUACCAGCAUCAAUGAGAAAAUCCAAACAUUUACCCUUCACGCGUAUAAAAUACUCUAUACAAACAAAUGCCCAGACCUGAAGCUAAACUUCCCCAGCUGAAUAUUUUACCAAUCUGAUGCCAAUAGCUUCGCUUCUCUCUUUGAAUUUCCAGAUUCAAGUGUCUCUGUUGAUCUUUU
RNAcentral lists this long non-coding RNA (327 nucleotides) under Populus trichocarpa (black cottonwood). RNAcentral describes it as "long non-coding RNA (PTRI_LNC001134)". The record is from RNAcentral. Lineage: Eukaryota; Viridiplantae; Streptophyta; Magnoliopsida; Malpighiales; Salicaceae.